RNAcentral lists this unclassified non-coding RNA (399 nucleotides) under soil metagenome. RNAcentral's name for it is "partial contains 5.8S ribosomal RNA, internal transcribed spacer 2, and large subunit ribosomal RNA". The stretch from base 1 to 120 matches the Rfam family "5.8S ribosomal RNA", at positions 35 to 154 of the family's 154-position model. The record is from RNAcentral.
GAUGAAGAACGCAGCGAAAUGCGAUACUUGGUGUGAAUUGCAGAAUCCCGUGAACCAUCGAGUCUUUGAACGCAAGUUGCGCCCGAAGCCUCGGCUAAGGGCACGUCUGCCUGGGCGUCACGCAUCGCGUCUCCCCCAAACCGCCAAGGCGGAGGGGAAGGAAGAUGGCUUCCCGUGCCUCACCCGGGCGCGGUUGGCCUAAAUUUGGAGCCCGCGGCACUUAGCUCUCGCGGCGAUAGGUGGUGAACAAGGCCUUGGCCGUGCAAACAACCCGCUGCGAAGCUCUAUGUCACGUGCGCUCGUCGGACCCUUUGAAGUUGCCUUUGGUGACUUAAAACCUUUGCGACCCCAGGUCAGGCGGGGCUACCCGCUGAAUUUAAGCAUAUCAAUAAGCGGGGA